Non-coding RNA from Podarcis lilfordi (Lilford's wall lizard), 79 nucleotides. NCBI's taxonomy places the organism in Eukaryota, Metazoa, Chordata, Lepidosauria, Squamata, Lacertidae. The record is from the annotation of a GenBank genome assembly.
GCCAUUCCAUUCAUAGGUCAGAUGGUGGAGCAUGAGACUUUUAAUCCUAGGGUUGUGGGUUUAAGCCCCACCUUAGGCA